This 332-nucleotide ribosomal RNA is filed under the name uncultured Phaselicystis sp. RNAcentral describes it as "bacterial SSU rRNA". It matches the Rfam family "Bacterial small subunit ribosomal RNA", at positions 568 to 898 of the family's 1533-position model. Lineage: Bacteria; Pseudomonadati; Myxococcota; Polyangiales; Phaselicystidaceae. The record is from RNAcentral.
CGUGCAGGCGGCUUGGUAAGUCGGGUGUGAAAUCCCGGAGCUCAACUCCGGAACUGCACCCGAUACUGCCUCGCUAGAGUCCCGGAGAGGAUGGCGGAAUUUCCGGUGUAGAGGUGAAAUUCGUAGAUAUCGGAAGGAACACCAGCGGCGAAGGCGGCCAUCUGGACGGUGACUGACGCUCAGACGCGAAAGCGCGGGGAGCAAACAGGAUUAGAUACCCUGGUAGUCCGCGCUGUAAACGUUGGGUGCUAGGCGUCGUGGGUAUUGACCCCCGCGGUGCCGAAGCUAACGCAUUAAGCACCCCGCCUGGGGAGUACGGUCGCAAGACUAAA